This 174-nucleotide small RNA is filed under the name Cynoglossus semilaevis (tongue sole). RNAcentral describes it as "Six3os1 conserved region 5 (ENSCSEG00000003777.1)". The record is from RNAcentral. Lineage: Eukaryota; Metazoa; Chordata; Actinopteri; Pleuronectiformes; Cynoglossidae.
CUCAUUAGGAGUAACGAGUUGACACAAGGUAAAUGUUCACGUCGAGGCGCCUUUUCUCCCCCGGCCCGGGGAGGAGCCCUCAUUAACUGUCGCUAACAACCCGUGUAAAUACACUGAUUGGACAGCUCCGACACAGAGCCUGGCCCGGGCCCUGCCAGGAAGUCCCCUAAUGAG